GGAAUCUUCCGCAAUGGACGAAAGUCUGACGGAGCAACGCCGCGUGAGUGAAGAAGGUUUUCGGAUCGUAAAACUCUGUUGUGAGGGAAGAACAAGUACCAACUAACUACUGGUACCUUGACGGUACCUCACCAGAAAGCCACGGCUAACUACGUGCCAGCAGCCGCGGUAAUACGGAGGUGGCAAGCGUUGUCCGGAAUUAUUGGGCGUAAAGCGCGCGCAGGCGGUCCUUUAAGUCUGAUGUGAAAGCCCACGGCUCAACCGUGGAGGGUCAUUGGAAACUGGGGGACUUGAGUGCAGAAGAGGAAAGUGGAAUUCCACGUGUAGCGGUGAAAUGCGUAGAGAUGUGGAGGAACACCAGUGGCGAAGGCGACUUUCUGGUCUGUAACUGACGCUGAGGCGCGAAAGCGUGGGGAGCAAACAGG
RNAcentral lists this ribosomal RNA (425 nucleotides) under uncultured bacterium. Its description in RNAcentral is "bacterial SSU rRNA". It matches the Rfam family "Bacterial small subunit ribosomal RNA", at positions 358 to 776 of the family's 1533-position model. The record is from RNAcentral.